RNAcentral lists this transfer RNA (71 nucleotides) under Cricetulus griseus (Chinese hamster). It matches the Rfam family "tRNA". From Rfam's summary of the family: Transfer RNA (tRNA) molecules are approximately 80 nucleotides in length. Their secondary structure includes four short double-helical elements and three loops (D, anti-codon, and T loops). Further hydrogen bonds mediate the characteristic L-shaped molecular structure. tRNAs have two regions of fundamental functional importance: the anti-codon, which is responsible for specific mRNA codon recognition, and the 3' end, to which the tRNAs corresponding amino acid is attached (by aminoacyl-tRNA synthetases). tRNAs cope with the degeneracy of the genetic code in two manners: having more than one tRNA (with a specific anti-codon) for a particular amino acid; and 'wobble' base-pairing, i.e. permitting non-standard base-pairing at the 3rd anti-codon position. Lineage: Eukaryota; Metazoa; Chordata; Mammalia; Rodentia; Cricetidae. The record is from Rfam by way of RNAcentral.
AGGGAUGGCUCAGUGGUCAAGAGCAUCUGCUGCUCUUGCAGAAGACCUGAGUUUGAAUCCCAGGAUCCUUG